UGGGGCUGCGCCUAUGGGUUGCAAGGCUGACAGUUUCCUAGGCGUCACCCCAAGCCGUUUCCAGGCCUUUCCUCCGCACCAAAGUGCGACAUUGGCCCUGGAAAUCCCCCGGGCAAGAGAGGGUUGUAAAUUCAGCUUCCUUAACAUCACAGAUUAGAAUGUUCUAUACCACGGCACCUGCAUAAAUAAAGGCUUUUAGAUGCCA
This is a long non-coding RNA of Mandrillus leucophaeus (drill), 205 nucleotides long. RefSeq lists it as uncharacterized. The record is from RefSeq and is a predicted model, not a curated record. The transcript is spliced from 2 exons. Lineage: Eukaryota; Metazoa; Chordata; Mammalia; Primates; Cercopithecidae.